This 96-nucleotide non-coding RNA is filed under the name Bacillota bacterium. RNAcentral's name for it is "Firmicutes bacterium SAM-I sequence". It matches the Rfam family "SAM riboswitch aptamer (S box leader)". From Rfam's summary of the family: The SAM riboswitch is found upstream of a number of genes which code for proteins involved in methionine or cysteine biosynthesis in Gram-positive bacteria. The record is from RNAcentral. Lineage: Bacteria; Bacillati; Bacillota.
GACCUAUGAAGAGUACGGAAGAGACAGGCUCGUCGCCGUACCGCAACCUGCAUACGCAAGGUGCGAAAUCCUGCGGGGAAACCCGGAAGAUAGGGA